Molecule: unclassified non-coding RNA, 204 nt
Filed under: Hevea brasiliensis (rubber tree)
Lineage: Eukaryota; Viridiplantae; Streptophyta; Magnoliopsida; Malpighiales; Euphorbiaceae
Source: RNAcentral
AAUACCCAGUGUUUCUACUUUGGGUUCUCAAGCUAUGGAUGGAACUGAGGGUAAAGAAGUAGUUGUCAAACCGAAUAUCAGAGAAACCUCCAAAACCCAUAAAGAAACAGAGCUCUCCUCUUCUUCAUCUUCUUCGAAAACCCAGUUGAGUAACAAUGCCAGUACCGAUGAGAGUACACUGAAUAAGAUAUAUAGAGAUUGCAG